Non-coding RNA from Fukomys damarensis (Damara mole-rat), 72 nucleotides. The record is from Rfam. NCBI's taxonomy places the organism in Eukaryota, Metazoa, Chordata, Mammalia, Rodentia, Bathyergidae.
GACAAUCUAGCUCAGUAGUAGGGUGCUUGCCUCGUAUGCAUGAGGCCCUGGGUUCAAUGCCUAGCAGUGUCA